GUUGAUAUUCCUGUACCACCUAUAAUCGUUUUAAUCGAUGGGGGGACGCAGUAGGAUAGGCGAAGCGUGCGAUUGGAUUGCACGUCUAAGCAGUAAGGCUGAGUAUUAGGCAAAUCCGGUACUCGUUAAGGCUGAGCUGUGAUGGGGAGAAGACAUUGUGUCUUCGAGUCGUUGAUUUCACACUGCCGAGAAAAGCCUCUAGAUAGAAAAUAGGUGCCCGUACCGCAAACCGACACAGGUAGUCAAGAUGAGAAUUCUAAGGUGAGCGAGCGAACUCUCGUUAAGGAACUCGGCAAAAUGACCCCGUAACUUCGGGAGAAGGGGUGCUCUUUAGGGUUAACGCCCAGAAGAGCCGCAGUGAAUAGGCCCAAGCGACUGUUUAUCAAAAACACAGGUCUCUGCUAAACCGUAAGGUGAUGUAUAGGGGCUGACGCCUGCCCGGUGCUGGAAGGUUAAGAGGAGUGGUUAGCUUCUGCGAAGCUACGAAUCGAAGCCCCAGUAAACGGCGGCCGUAACUAUAACGGUCCUAAGGUAGCGAAAUUCCUUGUCGGGUAAGUUCCGACCCGCACGAAAGGCGUAACGAUUUGGGCACUGUCUCAACGAGAGACUCGGUGAAAUCAUAGUACCUGUGAAGAUGCAGGUUACCCGCGACAGGACGGAAAGACCCCGUGGAGCUUUACUGUAGCCUGAUAUUGAAAUUCGGCACAGCUUGUACAGGAUAGGUAGGAGCCUUUGAAACGUGAGCGCUAGCUUACGUGGAGGCGCUGGUGGGAUACUACCCUAGCUGUGUUGGCUUUCUAACCCGCACCACUUAUCGUGGUGGGAGACAGUGUCAGGCGGGCAGUUUGACUGGGGCGGUCGCCUCCUAAAAGG
RNAcentral lists this ribosomal RNA (873 nucleotides) under Staphylococcus aureus. RNAcentral describes it as "partial 23S ribosomal RNA". It matches the Rfam family "Bacterial large subunit ribosomal RNA", at positions 1429 to 2297 of the family's 2925-position model. Lineage: Bacteria; Bacillati; Bacillota; Bacilli; Caryophanales; Staphylococcaceae. The record is from RNAcentral.